RNAcentral lists this non-coding RNA (22 nucleotides) under Arabidopsis thaliana (thale cress). The record is from RNAcentral. Lineage: Eukaryota; Viridiplantae; Streptophyta; Magnoliopsida; Brassicales; Brassicaceae.
AAGGUGCAAUACUUCUCUCCCU